GAUGAACGCUGGCGGCGUGCUUAACACAUGCAAGUCGAGCGAGAAGUUUUGAACAGAUUCUUCGGAUGAAAUUUAAAAUGGAAAGCGGCGGACGGGUGAGUAACGCGUAGGCAACCUGCCCCAUACAAAGGGAUAGCAUUUGGAAACGAAUAUUAAUACCUUAUGAAACUUAACUAGUGCAUGCUAGGUAGGUCAAAGAUUUAUCGGUAUGGGAUGGGCCUGCGUCUGAUUAGCUAGUUGGUGAGGUAACGGCUCACCAAGGCGACGAUCAGUAGCCGACCUGAGAGGGUGAACGGCCACAUUGGAACUGAGACACGGUCCAAACUCCUACGGGAGGCAGCAGUGGGGAAUAUUGCACAAUGGGGGAAACCCUGAUGCAGCAACGCCGCGUGAACGAUGAAGGCCUUUGGGUCGUAAAGUUCUGUUCUAGGUGAUGAAAACUGACAGUAACCUAGGAGAAAGCCCCGGCUAACUCCGU
Molecule: ribosomal RNA, 478 nt
Filed under: uncultured bacterium
Lineage: Bacteria
Description: partial 16S ribosomal RNA
Rfam family: Bacterial small subunit ribosomal RNA
Source: RNAcentral